Molecule: long non-coding RNA, 404 nt
Organism: Mobula hypostoma (lesser devil ray)
Lineage: Eukaryota; Metazoa; Chordata; Chondrichthyes; Myliobatiformes; Myliobatidae
Exons: 4
Source: RefSeq, a predicted model, not a curated record
AAUUCUGUUUGGAUGCUAUGGGGAAAUCUUCGAAAUAGCGGCACUUCUAAUCCACAGGAAAUACCAGAGGUUUCUGUCGCACUUGCAGAGCUGCAAUUCAUACCCAGGAGCAGUCUUGUUCAACAAAUGUAAUCCAGUCCUAUGUGUGGGCAAGUUUUCCAGAGGUGUAGUUCACAUCGCAAUGAUGAAGAAUUUGAGAAACUGCUUUAUUUAAUACCACAAUGACUACAAGUGCACCCAAGGCUUCUUUCCUGCAAAUCUCGGUGCUGUCAGUGACAAGCAUGUUCACAAGAAAUAGAAAGAAACACAAUAGCAGCAAUGAAGAAACACACAUGACGGAGAUGAACAAACAACCAAUGUGCAAAAGGCAACAAACUGCAAAUAAAAAAUAAAAUAAAAUUGAA